Molecule: ribosomal RNA, 424 nt
Filed under: uncultured bacterium
Lineage: Bacteria
Description: partial 16S ribosomal RNA
Rfam family: Bacterial small subunit ribosomal RNA
Source: RNAcentral
AAUUAUGGACAAUGGGGGAAACCCUGCUCCAGCCAUCCCGCGUGCAUUAUGAAGGCCUGCGGGUUGUAAAGUAUCGUUGGUAGAGAAGAACAGGCAUCACCUAAUACGGGAUGCUGCUGACGGUAUCUGCUGCAUAAGCACCGGCUCACUACGUGCCAGCAGCCGCGGUAAUACGUAGGGUGCAAGCGUUAAUCGGAAUUACUGGGCGUAAAGCGUGUGUAGGCAGUUCGGAAAGAAAGAUGUGAAAGCCCAGGGCUCAACCUUGGAACUGCAUUUUUAACUGCCGAGCUAGAGUAUGUCAGAGGGGGGUAGAAUUCCACGUGUAGCAGUGAAAUGCAUAGGUAUGUGGAGGAAUAACGAUGGCGAAGGCAGCCCCCUGGGAUAAUACUGACGCUCAGACACGAAAGCGUGGGGAGCAAACAGG